CCAACGGCCCUCUUUAGGGCCACAAGUUCAUAAAUCAGGCGUUG
Molecule: non-coding RNA, 44 nt
Organism: Syphacia muris
Lineage: Eukaryota; Metazoa; Nematoda; Chromadorea; Rhabditida; Oxyuridae
Source: Rfam